This is a non-coding RNA of Misgurnus anguillicaudatus (oriental weatherfish), 1360 nucleotides long. The record is from RefSeq and is a predicted model, not a curated record. NCBI's taxonomy places the organism in Eukaryota, Metazoa, Chordata, Actinopteri, Cypriniformes, Cobitidae.
UAAAGGAUCGUCUAAAACACAGAGUGUUGUUGUUGCUGGUUGGAUUCGUUCGCUGUUGUAUUCAGGCUGAGCUGGCGUGGCUGUGUAGGGACAAACAAGUCGUAGCGGUGCUGAGGAGGAUCGAACUGGACACAGUAGUAGCUGGGAAACGGCAGGAAAUCGUUGGGACUGAAACGAAGCAGAAGGAGAAGCAGAGUUAAAGUGAGUGGACACCUUAGAUGAAGACUGUAAGAACUAUUGGACCUAUUGUGUAAUACUGACAGCAGGAAGGAACAUCUCGUCGUGUGUAUUGCUGGAACUACUUACCUGUGUGUAGGAAGAGGAGAACAGCGGAAAGAAUUGUUCAGCGACUGUGAGUAUGCAGUAUUCGUUUUGCCAUACUGUGUGUUAACUCGUUUCGACUGUGUUGUAAGACUCCAGUAAAAGGAGUGGCGGCCCUGCCACGGAGCAGAGUGGUGGGAGAGCCGGAGGAAGACAAGUUUGGGGCUGUUACAGCGACGUGGACGCCACUGGCCCGCACUGGACAACGUCAAACGGGCUCCGGUGAAGUUGAGGAAGACGGGGGCGACCUAAGUGUUCACAUCGAGUGCUGUGGACUGCGGGUACCAGUUAUAUCAAACCUUGUAUAUGCUGUGGGCGAGCCCCGGGAUCUGAACAUUAAACGUAGUGUCCCUAGGCGGCCAUCCUUUGGAUCUGUUCUGUUUCGGUAGAGUGGUGGUGAAGAGCUCGACUGCUGAAGACUGUUCUCUUCAAAGGUGCGCCCUGUCCAGCACUCCAUAGUCGAGGCAAAGGAGAGGAGAGGGCAGCGCUCGGCUCGGUGUGACGGUGUAGAUUUUUCCCCUUGCAGUGUCAGCAGCCGCUGGAAGGGCUGUUUCACGACGCCUCAUCAUCUUCCAGUCUCGAGGUAUCUGUUGAUGUAUGAGAUUGCAGUCACUGUAAGUCCACCAUUCCUGAACAGUAAACUGAAGAUAUAUUUUGCCUGUCGAUUGACCACGAGUGUUACCACUGAAGUAGAGUGGGGAAAAAGCUGUAGCCAUACAUCCUUUAUGUCUGAUUGUGUGAUGCGCUGCCAGUGAGAGUAAAUGCCAGUGGUUUAUUAACCGAUCCUCUGUGUCUUAGCCAGCAGCCUGUGUAGAGAGAAACCCGAAUACUGUACCUGAGAGUUCACAGCCUGUAAAGAGAGAGAGAGAGAGAACCUGAAUACCUUACCUGAAAAGUACUUACUGUGCGUCAUCCAAAGCCGGAGAGGUGAGAGUAAAUGCCAGUGGUUAUUAACCGAUCUUCUGUGUCCUAGCCAGCAGCCUGUGGAGAGAGCAACCCGAAUACUGUACCUGAGAGUUCACAGCCUGUGGAGAGAGAA